GUGCUCACUUCAGGAGCAGACAUAGUAAAAUUGGAAUGAUUAGAGAUUAGCAUGGCCCCUGCGCAAGGAUGGCAUGCAAAUUCAUAAAGCGUUCCAUAUUUUU
This is a small nuclear RNA of Suncus etruscus (white-toothed pygmy shrew), 103 nucleotides long. The record is from RefSeq and is a predicted model, not a curated record. Lineage: Eukaryota; Metazoa; Chordata; Mammalia; Eulipotyphla; Soricidae.